CCACCACGGAGUGUGCGGGACACCAUCCUCAGCAGAGCCCUCAUCCUGAAGAUCCUCAUGUCCGCAGCCAUCAUCAUCAAUGGGACCCUGUUUAUCUUCUGGAAGGAGAUGCCUGAAGACAGAGCAAGCACUCCCCGCACCACGACGAUGACGUUCACUUGUUUUGUGUUUUUCGAUCUCUUCAACGCCUUGACCUGCCGCUCUCAGGUGAGACCCGGGCUGACCCUCCUCGCUGCAGAGCUGCUGUGUGUUCUCGACAGCAGCGCCCCGGCCCUGCCCACAGCAUUGAGCGGCUCUGGCUCAGCGUGGGCAGACAGAGCUCCCCUGCCUGUACCUGGGGUGUGGACAGCACACAAUCCCCCGUGUGACCCUCUCCCCACAGACCAAGCUGAUAUUUGAGAUCGGCUUUCUCAGGAACCACAUGUUCCUCUACUCCGUCCUGGGGUCCAUCCUGGGGCAGCUGGCAGUCAUUUACAUCCCC
RNAcentral lists this small RNA (481 nucleotides) under Pan troglodytes (chimpanzee). Its description in RNAcentral is "retained intron". The record is from RNAcentral. Lineage: Eukaryota; Metazoa; Chordata; Mammalia; Primates; Hominidae.